Molecule: long non-coding RNA, 899 nt
Filed under: Salmo salar (Atlantic salmon)
Lineage: Eukaryota; Metazoa; Chordata; Actinopteri; Salmoniformes; Salmonidae
Description: lncRNA (ENSSSAG00000109077.1)
Source: RNAcentral
GUGGAAUGAGAGCUCUCCAGUCUCUGGGCAAAAAAAUAGCAGGGAUUUUUGUGAGUGGUCCUGCUGAGAACAAUGUCACUGGAGCGCAUGUGCACGAGACGACUCCAUUUUUUUCUUUCAGUGUUUGAACGAAUACAACGUCGCCCGGUUGGAAUGUUAUCGCUAUUUUACGAGAAAAAUUGCAUAAAAAUGUAUUUUAAACAGCGUUUGACAUGCUUCGAAGUACGGUAAUGGAAUAUUUCGAAUUUUUUUGUCACAAAAUGCACCCUUCGGAUAGUGACUUGAACGCACGAACAAAACGGAGCUAUUUGGAUAUAACUAUGGAUUAUUUCGAACCUAAACAACACUUGUUGUUGAAGUAGAAGUCCUGGGAGUGCAUUCUGACGAAGAACAGCAAAGGCUCUCAGAAGGCGCCAGAACGUUGAAUGAUGACUUUGCAGGCCAUGGCUGAAAAACAGUAGCGCAUUUGCGUCGGAUGUUCUACAGGAGAGGUUUGCGGUAGAGAUGAAGUGUAACACUGCACUGCGUCUGGCUGCCCUGCACAGGCACGAGAGACUGAACAGUAUAGGCUCCACCCGGACCUCUAUCAAGAGCAUUGCGUGAGAGACGCACGCACGCGCUCUGGAUUACUGACCUCUGCUUGCCCUUGACCUGUCGUUUGCCUGCUCCCCUGUUUUUGUAAUAAACUUUUGUUACUUCUAAACUGUCUGCAUCUGAGUCUUCUCCUGAGCCUUGGCAGUACGAACUGGCCCCAUGUGGUGGGGUUGGUGGAGACAAGGCAGCGAAGAGUUGUCUCCAGGUCUUGAUUGGCUCGCUCCGACUGACUGUUGGACUGAGGGUGGAACCCGGAGGACAGGCUGGCCGAUGACCCAAUAAGUGUGCAGAACGCCUUACAGAAC